AGAGUUGUAUCCUGGCUCAGAUUGAACGCUGGCGGCAUGCCUUACACAUGCAAGUCGAACGGCAGCACGGAGCUUGCUCUGGUGGCGAGUGGCGAACGGGUGAGUAAUAUAUCGGAACGUACCCAAGAGUGGGGGAUAACGUAGCGAAAGUUACGCUAAUACCGCAUACGAUCUAAGGAUGAAAGCAGGGGACCGCAAGGCCUUGUGCUCCUGGAGCGGCCGAUAUCUGAUUAGCUAGUUGGUAGGGUAAAAGCCUACCAAGGCAUCGAUCAGUAGCUGGUCUGAGAGGACGACCAGCCACACUGGAACUGAGACACGGUCCAGACUCCUACGGGAGGCAGCAGUGGGGAAUUUUGGACAAUGGGCGCAAGCCUGAUCCAGCAAUGCCGCGUGAGUGAAGAAGGCCUUCGGGUUGUAAAGCUCUUUUGUCAGGGAAGAAAAGGGAUUGGCUAAUAUCUGAUCCUCAUGACGGUACCUGAAGAAUAAGCACCGGCUAACUACGUGCCAGCAGCCGCGGUAAUACGUAGGGUGCAAGCGUUAAUCGGAAUUACUGGGCGUAAAGCGUGCGCAGGCGGUUUUGUAAGACUGUCGUGAAAUCCCCGGGCUCAACCUGGGAAUGGCGAUGGUGACUGCAAGGCUAGAGUUUGGCAGAGGGGGGUAGAAUUCCACGUGUAGCAGUGAAAUG
Molecule: ribosomal RNA, 685 nt
Filed under: uncultured beta proteobacterium
Lineage: Bacteria; Pseudomonadati; Pseudomonadota; Betaproteobacteria
Description: bacterial SSU rRNA
Rfam family: Bacterial small subunit ribosomal RNA
Source: RNAcentral